GACGAACGCUGGCGGCGCGCCUAACACAUGCAAGUCGAACGGUGAAGAGGAGCUUGCUCCUCGGAACAGUGGCGGACGGGUGAGUAACACGUGAGCAACCUGGCUCUAAGAGGGGGACAACAGUUGGAAACGACUGCUAAUACCGCAUGACGUAUCGGGAUGGCAUCUUCCUGAUACCAAAGAUUUUAUCGCUUAGAGAUGGGCUCGCGUCUGAUUAGAUAGUUGGCGGGGUAACGGCCCACCAAGUCGACGAUCAGUAGCCGGACUGAGAGGUUGAACGGCCACAUUGGGACUGAGACACGGCCCAGACUCCUACGGGAGGCAGCAGUGGGGGAUAUUGGACAAUGGGGGCAACCCUGAUCCAGCGACGCCGCGUGAGGGAAGAAGGUUUUCGGAUUGUAAACCUCUGCUGACGGAGAAAAAAAUGAUGGUAUCCGUUUAGAAAGCCACGGCUAACUACGUG
RNAcentral lists this ribosomal RNA (463 nucleotides) under uncultured bacterium. RNAcentral's name for it is "partial 16S ribosomal RNA". It matches the Rfam family "Bacterial small subunit ribosomal RNA", at positions 28 to 507 of the family's 1533-position model. The record is from RNAcentral.